ACAGAACUUUCCAGAGAUGGAUUGGUGCCUUCGGGAACUGUGAGACAGGUGCUGCAUGGCUGUCGUCAGCUCGUGUUGUGAAAUGUUGGGUUAAGUCCCGCAACGAGCGCAACCCUUAUCCUUUGUUGCCAGCGGUUCGGCCGGGAACUCAAAGGAGACUGCCAGUGAUAAACUGGAGGAAGGUGGGGAUGACGUCAAGUCAUCAUGGCCCUUACGACCAGGGCUACACACGUGCUACAAUGGCAUAUACAAAGAGAAGCGACCUCGCGAGAG
RNAcentral lists this ribosomal RNA (273 nucleotides) under Klebsiella pneumoniae. Its description in RNAcentral is "partial 16S ribosomal RNA". It matches the Rfam family "Bacterial small subunit ribosomal RNA", at positions 990 to 1263 of the family's 1533-position model. Lineage: Bacteria; Pseudomonadati; Pseudomonadota; Gammaproteobacteria; Enterobacterales; Enterobacteriaceae. The record is from RNAcentral.